CCGCCCUGUUUUUUCAAAAACAUCGCCUCUUGCAAAAUAAAUGAAUAAGAGGUCCCGCCUGCCCUGUGACUAUAUGUUCAACGGCCGCGGUAUUUUGACCGUGCGAAGGUAGCGCAAUCACUUGUCUUUUAAAUGAAGACCUGUAUGAAUGGCAUCACGAGGGCUUAGCUGUCUCCCCCUCCCAGUCAAUGAAAUUGAUUUUCCCGUGCAGAAGCGGGAAUAAGAACAUAAGACGAGAAGACCCUAUGGAGCUUAAGACGCCAGGACAGCUCAUGUUAAACACCCCAGAACAAAGGGAAUAAACUUAGUGAAACCCUGCCCUAGUGUCUUUGGUUGGGGCGACCACGGGGAAAAACUUAACCCCCAUGCGGAAUAGGAAUACUAUUUUCCUAGACUCAAGAGCUCCCGCUCUAAUAGACAGAAUUUCUGACCAAAAGGAUCCGGCAAUGCCGAUCAACGGACCGAGUUACCCUAGGGAUAACAGCGCAAUCCUCUUUAAGAGUCCCUAUCGACAAGAGGGUUUACGACCUCGAUGUUGGAUCAGGACAUCCUAAUGGUGCAGCCGCUAUAAGGGUUCGUGGCAUAGCUUUGGC
RNAcentral lists this ribosomal RNA (593 nucleotides) under Acanthopagrus latus (yellowfin seabream). RNAcentral describes it as "partial 16S ribosomal RNA". It matches the Rfam family "Bacterial large subunit ribosomal RNA", at positions 1796 to 2585 of the family's 2925-position model. Lineage: Eukaryota; Metazoa; Chordata; Actinopteri; Spariformes; Sparidae. The record is from RNAcentral.